ACUCCUACGGGAGGCAGCAGUGGGGAAUAUUGGACAAUGGGGGAAACCCUGAUCCAGCCAUGCCGCGUGUGUGAAGAAGGCCUUCGGGUUGUAAAGCACUUUCAGUGGGGAGGAAAGGUUGUUGGUUAAUACCUAACAGCUGUGACGUUACCCACAGAAGAAGCACCGGCUAACUCCGUGCCAGCAGCCGCGGUAAUACGGAGGGGGCUAGCGUUGUUCGGAAUUACUGGGCGUAAAGCGCACGUAGGCGGAUUGGAAAGUUGGGGGUGAAAUCCCGGGGCUCAACCCCGGAACGGCCUUCAAAACUCCCAGUCUAGAGGUCGAGAGAGGUGAGUGGAAUUCCGAGUGUAGAGGUGAAAUUCGUAGAUAUUCGGAGGAACACCAGUGGCGAAGGCGGCUCACUGGCUCGAUACUGACGCUGAGGUGCGAAAGCGUGGGGAGCAAACAGGAUCAGAUACCCUGGUAGCGAGUA
RNAcentral lists this ribosomal RNA (472 nucleotides) under uncultured bacterium. RNAcentral describes it as "bacterial SSU rRNA". It matches the Rfam family "Bacterial small subunit ribosomal RNA", at positions 335 to 797 of the family's 1533-position model. The record is from RNAcentral.